GUCGAACGCUGGCGGCGUGCUUAACACGUGCAAGUCGAACGGAAAGGCCCUGCUUUUGUGGGGUGCUCGAGUGGCGAACGGGUGAGUAACACGUGAGUAACCUGCCCUUUACUUUGGGAUAACUUCAGGAAACUGGGGCUAAUACCGGAUAGGAGCUCCUGCUGCAUUGUGGGGGUUGGAAAGUUUCGGCGGUUGGGGAUGGACACGCGGCUUAUCAGCUUGUUGGUGGGGUAGUGGCUUACCAAGGCUUUGACGGGUAGCCGGCCUGAGAGGGUGACCGGCCACAUUGGGACUGAGAUACGGCCCAGACUCCUACGGGAGGCAGCAGUGGGGAAUAUUGCACAAUGGGCGGAAGCCUGAUGCAGCAACGCCGCGUGCGGGAUGACGGCCUUCGGGUUGUAAACCGCUUUCGCCUGUGACGAAGCGUGAGUGACGGUAAUGGGUAAAGAAGCACCGGCUAACUACGUG
This 468-nucleotide ribosomal RNA is filed under the name uncultured bacterium. RNAcentral's name for it is "partial 16S ribosomal RNA". It matches the Rfam family "Bacterial small subunit ribosomal RNA", at positions 28 to 507 of the family's 1533-position model. The record is from RNAcentral.